CAAAUCCAGGUUAGGUAUCCUCCUUCUUUCUUAAGUAUCUAAAAUAUUUCUCCUCCAAAGACUGCAUUUGCCCCAGUGAUGUAAAUUUUCCAUCAUGGUGGCAUAAUAUCUGUAAACAUCUCACUAAAUGCAAAAUGGAGUUUACAUUUAUGUGCAUAUUAGUGGAAGAGAAGUAAACUAUGUAUUCUUAUUUGCAUGUAGCUAUGUUGUCAAACGUGGCCGACUGAAAUUCAAGAAAGAAUUUGUUUUCACCCAGCAGUGUACAUCACUUUCCUCUUGGCAAGGAAGCUGGUGUUAACAUUAGGUUUAGGUUUAACAUUUACACCAGCGCAAAUGUUUAUGGAUAUUAUGGAAAACUUAUUUUAAAAUCUUGAUUUCCUUUCAGUACAUUUGCAUACUGUGUGCUGAUUAAUAAAUUAGGCACCAAUCAUGUGUGAAUCAAUGUAAAUCACUAGUUUAUGUACAUAAUAUAAACUAUGUAAACUUCAUUUUUCAUGCAGAGCCCAAGUUCAGCUAAGCCUAUAAAUCUUAAAGAAAAAAAUUUUUUAAAUGAAUAAAAACCAAAGCAUUUCACAGGUCAGAAUGGGAAGAAGUAUGACUAAUGGCUCAAACAUAAAGUUGCCUCAGCAAAAGGAAGCAGACCCACAGGAACUGUUAUCGAUUCACAUCCUGCUGACGUCACAGGAGGCCGCCUCUGUGUUCCUUCAGGACCUAAAUGGAGUUUCUCCCAACUCUUGUCACAGUUGUCUCACCUGACCCCAAAGCAAGGGAAAUGAAGAGACAAGGGGGAAGGAGAUUUCAGGGCUCAUGUAGUAAGAGUUGUUGUGAAGGCCAAAAUCAAAUGUGAAAAUUGAAUUCUCUGAGAAGCGGGUAAGCAGAAAGGAUGGUUUCUCAGGUGGCUAAUGAGGAAUACUUUCUUGUGCCAUGUUCUGGAUCGAUUGAGCACAAGCCCACUUGUCUUGACCCACCAAAGUAUAGCCCCACAUUAUCCUAGAGGCUCAACUUAGUAUCUGUCCAACAGUAGCUUUUCAUGCAUUGCCUAAGAGAACAGAAAGAAUCUGAGUUAUCUGUACACUGAAGAGCAGGGAUUACUCAUAACUUCCCAGCAUUAGUAUCACUUUAUGUAAAUAAGGAUAUACAAUCGCUGAGAGUACUCAUGAAGCUCUACUUAAGUGGGAGAAUGACCUGCCCACAGGACAACUCCCCAUUUCCAUGAUUAUUUCAGAGGUGCCUCUUUUUGAGUGGUGCUCCUGGAUUUAUUUCUACAGUCACAUUCAUCUCUGCACAAGCCCUCUCUAUGUAAAGCCAGGCACAGAGUAAAAAUCUCCUCUUGUAAAUGAAGAAAACACCUGGGACUACUAGCUUCAUGACACGUGGUAGUAAUUCUAAGCUAUCUGGAGCCUUUUCUGAACCCACUUCCCUAAGUCUUUGCUCUUCACCAGAGAAUGUACAUGGUUCCUCCUGGUGAAUUAUGGCCAAGUUCUGCUCCUUAAGUACUUACUGAGAAUGGGGGAAAGUUACAGGGAGGGAAAUACAGGGGAGAGAAGCCCUGGAGAAAACCUCCCCUUCCUUCCCCCACCCUGGCUUCACCCCUUCCUUCUCUCUGCUCUACUGAAGGGUGUAUAAAUCCUGCUCUUGGUUAGAAUUCUCUUAUUAACAGUGUUAUAUACAUAUAAAUAUAUAUAUAUAUAUAAAUAUAUUCCUUUUUUCAGCCCUGUAGACAUAAACAGAACUGUCCUUGAUGAUACAAACACAUGGCCAUUUUUGGUUUGGGUUUUUUGUUGUUCAAGGUUUUUUACUUUUAUUGGGUGGAUUUUUUUUCCCUGGAUACUAGCUCUGUGAAGGAAAAUAAAAAAGCGCAGUGUGUGUAAAAAAAAAAUUAAAAUUAAAAAAAGCUUUUUUCCUUUUCUUUUUAAAUGUAUUUAAAUUCUGUUCUCUCUUCUGUUACUUUACACGUAUGAAUGCUCUGCUCUUCUGUGAUCUUAAAACAAAAUGAAAUAAACGUGAAAAGGAGAUGUGUCUUCAUUUCCAUGAGUCAGUGAUCCUGUGGUUGACUGUGCUGCUUCUUGAAAGUUUUCAUGAAUAAGAUAAGGACUGAAGACAAUGAUAAUGGAAAUUAUGUGAGGAAGGGGUGGACAAAAUACUGAAGAAUCACUUGAAGUCUCUUCUACCACAGACGGGA
Molecule: long non-coding RNA, 2182 nt
Organism: Equus caballus (horse)
Lineage: Eukaryota; Metazoa; Chordata; Mammalia; Perissodactyla; Equidae
Source: Ensembl